UACGUAGGGGGCGAGCGUUAUCCGGAAUUAUUGGGCGUAAAGCGCGCGCAGGCGGUCAUUUAAGUCAGGUGUGAAAGGCUGCGGCUCAACCGCAGAGCGGCACCUGAAACUGGAUGACUUGAGUGCAGGAGAGGAGAGCGGAAUUCCCGGUGUAGCGGUGGAAUGCGUAGAGAUCGGGAGGAACACCAGUGGCGAAGGCGGCUCUCUGGCCUGUUUCUGACGCUGAGGCGCGAAAGCGUGGGGAGCAAACAGG
This 253-nucleotide ribosomal RNA is filed under the name uncultured bacterium. RNAcentral's name for it is "partial 16S ribosomal RNA". It matches the Rfam family "Bacterial small subunit ribosomal RNA", at positions 524 to 776 of the family's 1533-position model. The record is from RNAcentral. RNAcentral also lists the same sequence under 2 other names.